Molecule: ribosomal RNA, 157 nt
Filed under: Beauveria bassiana
Lineage: Eukaryota; Fungi; Ascomycota; Sordariomycetes; Hypocreales; Cordycipitaceae
Description: 5.8S ribosomal RNA
Rfam family: 5.8S ribosomal RNA
About the family: 5.8S ribosomal RNA (5.8S rRNA) is a component of the large subunit of the eukaryotic ribosome. It is transcribed by RNA polymerase I as part of the 45S precursor that also contains 18S and 28S rRNA.
Source: RNAcentral
AAACUUUCAACAACGGAUCUCUUGGCUCUGGCAUCGAUGAAGAACGCAGCGAAAUGCGAUAAGUAAUGUGAAUUGCAGAAUCCAGUGAAUCAUCGAAUCUUUGAACGCACAUCGCGCCCGCCAGCAUUCUGGCGGGCAUGCCUGUUCGAGCGUCAUU